CGGAAAGCAAGCUAAGUCCAUGGACAAUCGAGAAGAAAAGCCAUUGCAACGUCCGGUCUGGGGGACCGGGGGUCGGGAGUUCAAAUCUCCCCGCUCCGACCA
RNAcentral lists this transfer RNA (102 nucleotides) under Methyloceanibacter caenitepidi. Its description in RNAcentral is "tRNA-Pro (GGG) (tRNA-Pro-GGG-2-1)". The record is from RNAcentral. Lineage: Bacteria; Pseudomonadati; Pseudomonadota; Alphaproteobacteria; Hyphomicrobiales; Hyphomicrobiaceae.